RNAcentral lists this ribosomal RNA (856 nucleotides) under uncultured marine archaeon. Its description in RNAcentral is "bacterial SSU rRNA". It matches the Rfam family "Archaeal small subunit ribosomal RNA", at positions 477 to 1338 of the family's 1478-position model. The record is from RNAcentral.
CGGCGCCUCAAGUGGUAGUCGCUUUUAUUGGGCCUAAAACGUCCGUAGCCGGUUUGGUACAUUCGUGGGUAAAUCAAGGCGCUCAACGUCUUGAAUUCUGCGAGCACGGCCAGACUUGGGACCGGGUGAGGUGUGGGGUACUCUCAGGGUAGGGGUAAAAUCCUGUCAUCCUGAGAGGACCACCUGUUGCGAAGGCGCCACACUAGAACGGAUCCGACGGUCAGGGACGAAGCCUAGGGGCACGAACCGGAUUAGAUACCCGGGUAGUCCUAGGUGUAAACGCUGUGGACUUGAUGUUGGGAGUGCUCCGAGCACCUCAGUGUCGAAGCGAAGGUGAUAAGUCCACUGCCUGGGGAGUACGGCCGCAAGGCUGAAACUUAAAGGAAUUGGCGGGGAGCACUGCAACCUGAGGAUUGUGCGGUUUAAUUGGAUUCAACGCCGGAAACUCACCAUAGCCGACGGACAUAUGAAGGCCAGCGUAAUGAGCUUGCCGGAUUGUUCGAGAGGUAGUGCAUGGCCGUCGUCAGUUUGUACCGCAAGGCGUUCUGUUAAGUCAGAUAACGAACGAGACCCUCAUCCCUAUUUGCCAAGGUCUGUCCGCAGACCACGGGACUAUAGGGAGACCGUGGCGCGAAGUCAGAGGAAGGCGAGGGCAACGGUAGGUCAGUAUGCUCCGAAUGCUAUGGGCUACACGCGCAAUACAAAGGGCGGGACAAUGGGCUGCAACUCCGAGAGGAACGACGCUAUCCCGAAACCCGUUCGUAGUUCGGAUUGAGGGCUGUAACUCGCCCUCAUGAAGCUGGAUUAGGUAGUAAUCGCGUCUCAAAAAGGCGCGGUGAAUAUGCCCCUGCUCCUU